CUUACCACACCUGCACAAUUGAUUCUCUACGGUCCUCAUGCUCGAGUCACAUAUGAGAAAACCAGAGAGAUGAACUGACGGGAAAAGGUUCCAUUCAGGUUAAAUCUAUAAUACGCAUUCCUUCACACUAAAAAAUAAAUAAAUAAAUAAAUAAAAAAUAAACAAUCUGUAAAAAAAAAAACAAAAAAAAAAACAUAUAUGCAUAAUGAACAUUUUAAAAACUAACCCAAAAUGACAAGCAAACAAGUUCUGCAAAUAUGGGAGGCAAGACACACCACAUCCAUCACAAUCUCCCAUAAUUCCACUGGUUUAUUGACACACUCACGGACAGAACAUUCUUGAACACUCCUGCAUCAGAACACAGUGCAUGAGAAAUUCAAUCAGUAUCAAAAACACACAACAUGGCCCACAACAAGCUCGGCCCGCAAAAUCACCAAUAUGAUUUGCAUAGGAAAGUAUUUAGCACACUUUUGAACAAAAAAUACAGACAUUUAUACUUUGUUUUUUUGCAGUGGCUGGUUUUCAUUUGAUGCAUUUUUUUUAAACAAUCAACCUUUGGACAAUCAAUUACCCCCCAAAAUGAUUUUUAGGAUAGUGAUAAAUGCUUAAGAAAUUACAAAAAAGUUCGAAAUAAUAGUUAAGAUAGGGCAAGCAAUAAAAGAAAAACUAAAAACAAAAAUGGAUGGAUGGAUGGUUUUUUCUCUACAACACAUCCAACACUCUUUGUCCCAGCACACAAAGUAAUGAUUAUUCUACAUUUUACUUACUUUGCAACAGUGUUCAUCACGGGCGAAUCACACAAAAACUGUCAAGGGAGAUUUUUUAUUUUUUUUACCCCAAAACCAAAAGAAAAAUUACAGAAAAUAAGAGAAAAUAAAUUAUAUUUUAUAAAGAAUUUUUUUUUUCUUCCAAAUUAUUAUUAAUAAUUACUAUAACAGAAAACAAAUAUUACAUAUUAUUAUGAUGAGGAUAUAAUUUGUUGUGCCGACUUUAGUUAAUGAUUAAAUGACAGAUUUAAUUGUCAUAAAUCUUAAUAGGCUUUA
This is a long non-coding RNA of Cyprinus carpio carpio, 1043 nucleotides long. Lineage: Eukaryota; Metazoa; Chordata; Actinopteri; Cypriniformes; Cyprinidae. The record is from Ensembl.